This 292-nucleotide unclassified non-coding RNA is filed under the name Hevea brasiliensis (rubber tree). Lineage: Eukaryota; Viridiplantae; Streptophyta; Magnoliopsida; Malpighiales; Euphorbiaceae. The record is from RNAcentral.
GCUCUUUAAGCUUUCCACGGCAUCCUUGAUCAUUUGCUCCAUGGAGCUGAACUGCAUACCCAUAUCAAUCAAUUUCUUCGACGCAUUCUGGGCCCUCAGCAACCCAGGUUGAGUAUCCUUCGGGAAUCUAGGGAUUUUAUACUCGGGGUAACGUUCUGCCACCUUUGAAGCAAAGUCGCUGUAAUGAGCGAUGGAUUCAACACAUAGAUGCCUUCCGGAUGCUGAGGGGUUUUCGUAGAGCAGGAUAUGUGCCAACGCAACGUCUUUGACGUGAACAGAUCCCAUGUAAAAA